AGGCUUUCUAAACUAGUUUGGCCGUUUGGAAGACACUACUGGAAGCUACACAGUCUUUGUUGUGCUUGCCUGUGGAUCAAGCUAAGACGACUUACUGUAGGCCUAAAACGUGAUUUCUGAAACGAGGCAGCCGCAAUUUAUCGCAGCGGCAAUUCAUGGAACAUACCUACAACUAAGUGGCAUAAGGUGGUCAAUGCAGCGCAGCAUCAUGGCAAAUCUGAGGGCCCAUCUGAGAGGCUACUGCAUCAAUAUAGUUUCGAUGUUUGUGAGUCUCAGUAACCCGAAAGGGUUUUCAUCUAAGGAAAAGACAAAACCACAACUCCUGAAUUGUUUCCUUGUGCCAACUUUUGCACUAAUCUAAAAAGAGGAAAAUCAAAAAGGAAAUCCUUCGAGUGGAAUCUAAUGCCUUAAACCUCCACCAGAAGUCACCAUCCUUUUUCACAAAGUUGGAGAAAAUUCACAGAG
Engraulis encrasicolus (European anchovy) is the source of this 465-nucleotide long non-coding RNA. RefSeq lists it as uncharacterized. The transcript is spliced from 3 exons. The record is from RefSeq and is a predicted model, not a curated record. Lineage: Eukaryota; Metazoa; Chordata; Actinopteri; Clupeiformes; Engraulidae.